UCGGGAAUUUUGGGCAAUGGGCGAAAGCCUGAUCCAGCCAUGCCGCGUGUGUGAAGAAGGUCUUCGGAUUGUAAAGCACUUUAAGUUGGGAGGAAGGGCAGUAAGUUAAUACCUUGCUGUUUUGACGUUACCGACAGAAUAAGCACCGGCUAACUCUGUGCCAGCAGCCGCGGUAAUACAGAGGGUGCAAGCGUUAAUCGGAAUUACUGGGCGUAAAGCGCGCGUAGGUGGUUUGUUAAGUUGGAUGUGAAAUCCCCGGGCUCAACCUGGGAAUUGCAUUGGAGACUGCAAGGCUAGAAUCUGGCAGAGGGUGGUGGAAUUUCCUGUGUAGCGGUGAAAUGCGUAGAUAUAGGAAGGAACACCAGUGGCGAAGGCGACCACCUGGACUGAUACUGACACUGAGGUGCGAAAGCGUGGGGAGCAAACAGGAUUAGAUACCCUUGUAGUCCCUGAGCGGGCUGGCAAGGCGCAU
This 472-nucleotide ribosomal RNA is filed under the name uncultured bacterium. RNAcentral's name for it is "bacterial SSU rRNA". It matches the Rfam family "Bacterial small subunit ribosomal RNA", at positions 355 to 825 of the family's 1533-position model. The record is from RNAcentral.